UACGUAGGGGGCGAGCGUUGUCCGGAAUUACUGGGUGUAAAGGGCGUGUAGGCGGGGGUGCAAGUUACCGGUAAAAACCCAGGGCUCAACUCUGGGCUUGCCGGUAAAACUGCAUCUCUUGAGUGUAGGAGAGGGAAGUGGAAUUCCCGGAGUAGCGGUGAAAUGCGUAGAUACCGGGAGGAACACCAGUGGCGAAGGCGGCUUCCUGGCCUACAACUGACGCUGAGGCGCGAAAGCUAGGGUAGCGAACGGG
RNAcentral lists this ribosomal RNA (253 nucleotides) under uncultured bacterium. RNAcentral's name for it is "partial 16S ribosomal RNA". It matches the Rfam family "Bacterial small subunit ribosomal RNA", at positions 524 to 776 of the family's 1533-position model. The record is from RNAcentral.